RNAcentral lists this ribosomal RNA (829 nucleotides) under uncultured Staphylococcus sp. RNAcentral's name for it is "bacterial SSU rRNA". It matches the Rfam family "Bacterial small subunit ribosomal RNA", at positions 81 to 896 of the family's 1533-position model. The record is from RNAcentral. Lineage: Bacteria; Bacillati; Bacillota; Bacilli; Caryophanales; Staphylococcaceae.
CUUCUCUGAUGUUAGCGGCGGACGGGUGAGUAACACGUGGAUAACCUACCUAUAAGACUGGGAUAACUUCGGGAAACCGGAGCUAAUACCGGAUAAUAUUUUGAACCGCAUGGUUCAAAAGUGAAAGACGGUCUUGCUGUCACUUAUAGAUGGAUCCGCGCUGCAUUAGCUAGUUGGUAAGGUAACGGCUUACCAAGGCAACGAUGCAUAGCCGACCUGAGAGGGUGAUCGGCCACACUGGAACUGAGACACGGUCCAGACUCCUACGGGAGGCAGCAGUAGGGAAUCUUCCGCAAUGGGCGAAAGCCUGACGGAGCAACGCCGCGUGAGUGAUGAAGGUCUUCGGAUCGUAAAACUCUGUUAUUAGGGAGGAACAUAUGUGUAAGUAACUGUGCACAUCUUGACGGUACCUAAUCAGAAAGCCACGGCUAACUACGUGCCAGCAGCCGCGGUAAUACGUAGGUGGCAAGCGUUAUCCGGAAUUAUUGGGCGUAAAGCGCGCGUAGGCGGUUUUUUAAGUCUGAUGUGAAAGCCCACGGCUCAACCGUGGAGGGUCAUUGGAAACUGGAAAACUUGAGUGCAGAAGAGGAAAGUGGAAUUCCAUGUGUAGCGGUGAAAUGCGCAGAGAUAUGGAGGAACACCAGUGGCGAAGGCGACUUUCUGGUCUGUAACUGACGCUGAUGUGCGAAAGCGUGGGGAUCAAACAGGAUUAGAUACCCUGGUAGUCCACGCCGUAAACGAUGAGUGCUAAGUGUUAGGGGGUUUCCGCCCCUUAGUGCUGCAGCUAACGCAUUAAGCACUCCGCCUGGGGAGUACGACCGCAAGGUUG